UCGUCAUACGCGCGCGCCACCACCGUUCUCUUGGGGAGCCGGCGAGCUGUAGAGCUGUUAUGGCGAGCUCCGCGGCCUCCUCGGUGCGACCGCCGAGGCCCAGGAAAGAGCCGCAGGCCCUCGUCAUCCCGAAGAAUGCGGCGGAGGAACAGAAGCUCAAGCUGGAACGUCUCAUGAAGAACCCGGACAAAACAGUUCCAAUUCCAGAAAAAAUGAGCGAAUGGGCACCUCGACCUCCCCCAGAAUUUGUCCGAGAUGUAAUGGGUUCAAGUGCUGGGGCUGGCAGCGGAGAGUUCCAUGUGUACAGGCACUUGCGCCGGAGAGAGUACCAGCGGCAGGACUACAUGGAUGCCAUGGCUGAGAAGCAAAAAUUGGAUGCAGAGUUUCAGAAAAGACUAGAAAGGAAUAAAAUUGCCGCGGAGGAACAGACUGCAAAGCGUCGGAAAAAGCGUCAGAAGUUAAAAGAGAAGAAAUUAUUGGCAAAGAAAAUGAAACUUGAGCAGAAGAAACAAAAAGAAGGCCCCCAUUGCCACCGCAGUCACUGAUGCCAUUCUGACACUGGAAGGAUUACCUGAGAGCUAAGGUGUGAGAGAAUGGAGAAGAGAGGAGAAACAAAAGAAUUUCCUUCACUCUGAGCAUUGGGAGUUCACUUUCUUAGUCCUCGAACUAGAACUAGAAGGAUCCAGUCAGUCCCAGGAGCAGCGAUCCAGUAGCUCUGAGGAGGCAUCUGGAACGGAGGAGGAAGAGGAGGACCAGCCCAGCUUCAUCAUGGGGCGGUGACGAUGUUGCCACAGCAGCUGUCAGGAGCGUGGCCCGUUCUGUGACUGGGCCUCAGGAAACCCUCCACACGCCCCGAGGGGAAGGGACCUCUGUUUCAGCUCAGUUUCCCUACCAAAGCCUUGAUGGAUAGAAGCAAGCGGGAACCCAUCAGAGGGCUCACAGCCCCACUAUCGGAGAGAGGACCGUCUCCUGGACACUCGAGGGCACUGCCAAGCACGGUUUGUUCACAUUCCCGCUAAAAGGAAGGAAAAUGUAUAACCUGUGAACCACUGGUGCCUGUUCUCACAUAAUUGGAUGGUGAUGAGUUUGGGGCUGGCUUCUGAAAGGAAAUGUUUAUUCAGUAAAGAACAAAAAACUUCAGGUUUUGUUCAGACCGGUGAUAUGAUUGCAGAAGCUGUCAUGAAGGCUGUGAAUGACAUGAUGGGAACAGGGCCUGUUCCUAGACCCAUACAGAAAUGGCCUUGGCCCUGGAGCUAACUCGCAGUGCAGGGCGCACGGCCUCCCUCUCCUUCAGCAGAGGGUGCACACUGCACCCCAGAAGGCGUGCUCCCGCCCAGCAGCUCCCAGCACACAGUGCAAAGGGGGACGUAGGACUUAACCAUGGGCCGAGCUAGAAGAGAGGACCUUGAUGUGUGACAAUAAGCAGGCAGAGAAUCCAGGUGGGGCUGGACCAGAGCAGAUGAUCCGGGGAAUGAAUCCUCACUGCACUGCAGGGAGGCGGAUGAAUUGGCCAAAAGCUGUAUUUUCAUCUGGAGGUAAAGGGGCUCUAAACAGAAAAUGAGAGGUGACUGAGGGCAACUUUCAGGCCAACAGAAAGGAGAGAUGGUUUCUAAUUAGAGCCUUUGCUCACUUUUUGGAUAUCUCCAAGUUUCUAGGUUUAUUUUGUACCUUUUAUGGAGUUUGAUACAAUUAAGAAAAAUAGUUUCCCUUCACUCAAAGCCACUGAGAAACAUCUUUUUUUUUCGUUCCCUGGCCCUACCCUGAGCCAUGUGACAUCUGUGAUAGCUUCUGUCUUUCCUCAGUUCAAGUCACAGGAAUUUUUCUUUCCCAGGAAGCUGAAGUGGAGAGUCAGCCCUAAUAAAUUAGCACACACCCUGACUGUA
Molecule: non-coding RNA, 1883 nt
Organism: Vicugna pacos (alpaca)
Lineage: Eukaryota; Metazoa; Chordata; Mammalia; Artiodactyla; Camelidae
Source: RefSeq, a predicted model, not a curated record